GUGCACGCUGGCGGUAGGCCUAACACAUGCAAGUCGAACGGCAGCACAGUAAGAGCUUGCUCUUACGGGUGGCGAGUGGCGGACGGGUGAGGAAUACAUCGGAAUCUACUUUUUCGUGGGGGAUAACGUAGGGAAACUUACGCUAAUACCGCAUACGACCUACGGGUGAAAGCAGGGGAUCUUCGGACCUUGCGCGAUUGAAUGAGCCGAUGUCGGAUUAGCUAGUUGGCGGGGUAAAGGCCCACCAAGGCGACGAUCCGUAGCUGGUCUGAGAGGAUGAUCAGCCACACUGGAACUGAGACGCGGUCCAGACUCCUACGGGAGGCAGCAGUGGGGAAUAUUGGACAAUGGGCGCAAGCCUGAUCCAGCCAUACCGCGUGGGUGAAGAAGGCCUUCGGGUUGUAAAGCCCUUUUGUUGGGAAAGAAAAGCAGCAGGUUAAUACCCCGCUGUUCUGACGGUACCCAAAGAAUAAGCACCGGCUAACUUCGUG
This 491-nucleotide ribosomal RNA is filed under the name uncultured bacterium. RNAcentral's name for it is "partial 16S ribosomal RNA". It matches the Rfam family "Bacterial small subunit ribosomal RNA", at positions 29 to 507 of the family's 1533-position model. The record is from RNAcentral.